This 947-nucleotide long non-coding RNA is filed under the name Rattus norvegicus (Norway rat). Its description in RNAcentral is "long non-coding RNA NONRATT009944". Lineage: Eukaryota; Metazoa; Chordata; Mammalia; Rodentia; Muridae. The record is from RNAcentral.
CCAAAUACUGUCUGUUGUGAAAAUGCCCUCGAAGCCUGUAGUGCUGUGUAAAUGUGGUGCUCCCCGCUCUUGGUACAUACAUGUCAUUCCAUGCUGUGUACUCAGCAGAUAUGGGAUACUGAAUGAAAUAUACAAAUAUCUUAAUAUUAUGAAUUGAGUUCUAAAAUAAGGUAAGUGUGUUUAUGGUGAUUUCUUUACCUUUAUAACUAUGUUGAAAUUUGAGAAAAUAUGAUAUACUAUAUGUUUGAAACCUUGUUUAUAUCAUGUAUAUAUGAGUGUGCAUAUCUGUUUUUGAAAGGAAUAGGUCCAGAUGGUCAUAUCGCUUUCAAUGAGCCAGGAUCCAGUUUAGUAUCAAGAACAAGAUUAAAGACUCUAGCAAUGGACACCAUUUUAGCAAAUGCAAAAUAUUUUGAUGGAGAUUUAUCAAAAGUACCAACCAUGGCUCUAACUGUUGGUGUGGGGACAGUGAUGGAUGCCAGGGAGGUAAGUAAUGUUGUUUUGAAUAUUUUUCUUUGAUGUUGAGUAAUUAUGGUGCUUAAUAUUUUAGAUUCAUCUAGUUUUCAAUAAAAAUGCUUAAAGGACAACAUUUAAUUAGAGCUGCCUCACUGGUUCUGAGGUUCAGUCCAUUAUCAUCACAGCCGGAAGCAUGGCAACAUCCAGGCAGGCAUGGGACUGUAUGAACUGACAGCUCUACUUCUUGUUCAGAGGCAAACUGGAGCAGAAUGGCUCUCACGUGGCUAGGAGGAGGGUCUCCAAGCCCACCACCACAGUGACACACCUCCUCCAACAAGGCCACACUUCCUGAUAGUGCCACUCCCUGAGCCAAGCAUAUACAAACCACAACAGUAACUGUGGUUGUGUUGGCAUUUGCGAAAGGGGUAUAGAGAGAAUGUCCUACAUAGUUUUGGAGCCCAUGGGAUUGAUUAAUAAAAAGUGCUUUUGACUAC